AUUCCCUUAGCUCAGUUGGUAGAGUAUUGACUUUUAAUCAAUAGGUCCGGGGUUCGAAUCCUCGAGGGAAUACCA
Molecule: transfer RNA, 75 nt
Filed under: Bacteriophage sp.
Description: tRNA-Lys
Rfam family: tRNA
About the family: Transfer RNA (tRNA) molecules are approximately 80 nucleotides in length. Their secondary structure includes four short double-helical elements and three loops (D, anti-codon, and T loops).
Source: RNAcentral